Molecule: ribosomal RNA, 506 nt
Filed under: uncultured bacterium
Lineage: Bacteria
Description: partial 16S ribosomal RNA
Rfam family: Bacterial small subunit ribosomal RNA
Source: RNAcentral
GAUGAACGCUAGCUACAGGCCUAACACAUGCAAGUCGAGGGGUAACAAGAGAAAAGCUUGCUUUUCUUGUUGACGACCGGCGCACGGGUGAGUAACGCGUAUCCAACCUGCCUAUAACUAGGGAAUAACCUUGCGAAAGUAAGACUAAUACCCUAUGAUUUCCUUUGAUGACAUCAGAUUAGGUAUAAAGAUUUAUCGGUUAUAGAUGGGGAUGCGUCUGAUUAGCUUGUUGGCGGGGUAACGGCCCACCAAGGCAACGAUCAGCAGGGGUUCUGAGAGGAAGGUCCCCCACAUUGGAACUGAGACACGGUCCAAACUCCUACGGGAGGCAGCAGUGAGGAAUAUUGGUCAAUGGGCGGAAGCCUGAACCAGCCAAGUAGCGUGCAGGAUGACGGCCCUAUGGGUUGUAAACUGCUUUUAUACAGGAAUAAAGUUAGCCACGUGUGGUUAUUUGUAGGUACUGUAUGAAUAAGGACCGGCUAAUUCCGUGCCAGCCGCCGCAGUAA